Molecule: ribosomal RNA, 2932 nt
Filed under: Escherichia coli
Lineage: Bacteria; Pseudomonadati; Pseudomonadota; Gammaproteobacteria; Enterobacterales; Enterobacteriaceae
Description: bacterial LSU rRNA
Rfam family: Bacterial large subunit ribosomal RNA
Source: RNAcentral
GGGUUGUGAGGUUAAGCGACUAAGCGUACACGGUGGAUGCCCUGGCAGUCAGAGGCGAUGAAGGACGUGCUAAUCUGCGAUAAGCGUCGGUAAGGUGAUAUGAACCGUUAUAACCGGCGAUUUCCGAAUGGGGAAACCCAGUGUGUUUCGACACACUAUCAUUAACUGAAUCCAUAGGUUAAUGAGGCGAACCGGGGGAACUGAAACAUCUAAGUACCCCGAGGAAAAGAAAUCAACCGAGAUUCCCCAGUAGCGGCGAGCGAACGGGGAGGAGCCCAGAGCCUGAAUCAGUGUGUGUGUUAGUGGAAGCGUCUGGAAAGGCGCGCGAUACAGGGUGACAGCCCCGUACACAAAAAUGCACAUGCUGUGAGCUCGAUGAGUAGGGCGGGACACGUGGUAUCCUGUCUGAAUAUGGGGGGACCAUCCUCCAAGGCUAAAUACUCCUGACUGACCGAUAGUGAACCAGUACCGUGAGGGAAAGGCGAAAAGAACCCCGGCGAGGGGAGUGAAAAAGAACCUGAAACCGUGUACGUACAAGCAGUGGGAGCACAGAGCAAUCUGUGUGACUGCGUACCUUUUGUAUAAUGGGUCAGCGACUUAUAUUCUGUAGCAAGGUUAACCGAAUAGGGGAGCCGAAGGGAAACCGAGUCUUAACUGGGCGUUAAGUUGCAGGGUAUAGACCCGAAACCCGGUGAUCUAGCCAUGGGCAGGUUGAAGGUUGGGUAACACUAACUGGAGGACCGAACCGACUAAUGUUGAAAAAUUAGCGGAUGACUUGUGGCUGGGGGUGAAAGGCCAAUCAAACCGGGAGAUAGCUGGUUCUCCCCGAAAGCUAUUUAGGUAGCGCCUCGUGAAUUCAUCUCCGGGGGUAGAGCACUGUUUCGGCAAGGGGGUCAUCCCGACUUACCAACCCGAUGCAAACUGCGAAUACCGGAGAAUGUUAUCACGGGAGACACACGGCGGGUGCUAACGUCCGUCGUGAAGAGGGAAACAACCCAGACCGCCAGCUAAGGUCCCAAAGUCAUGGUUAAGUGGGAAACGAUGUGGGAAGGCCCAGACAGCCAGGAUGUUGGCUUAGAAGCAGCCAUCAUUUAAAGAAAGCGUAAUAGCUCACUGGUCGAGUCGGCCUGCGCGGAAGAUGUAACGGGGCUAAACCAUGCACCGAAGCUGCGGCAGCGACGCUGAUGCGUUGUUGGGUAGGGGAGCGUUCUGUAAGCCUGUGAAGGUGUGCUGUGAGGCAUGCUGGAGGUAUCAGAAGUGCGAAUGCUGACAUAAGUAACGAUAAAGCGGGUGAAAAGCCCGCUCGCCGGAAGACCAAGGGUUCCUGUCCAACGUUAAUCGGGGCAGGGUGAGUCGACCCCUAAGGCGAGGCCGAAAGGCGUAGUCGAUGGGAAACAGGUUAAUAUUCCUGUACUUGGUGUUACUGCGAAGGGGGGACGGAGAAGGCUAUGUUGGCCGGGCGACGGUUGUCCCGGUUUAAGCGUGUAGGCUGGUUUUCCAGGCAAAUCCGGAAAACUAAGGCUGAGGCGUGAUGACGAGGCACUACGGUGCUGAAGCAACAAAUGCCCUGCUUCCAGGAAAAGCCUCUAAGCAUCAGGUAACAUCAAAUCGUACCCCAAACCGACACAGGUGGUCAGGUAGAGAAUACCAAGGCGCUUGAGAGAACUCGGGUGAAGGAACUAGGCAAAAUGGUGCCGUAACUUCGGGAGAAGGCACGCUGAUAUGUAGGUGAAGUCCCUCGCGGAUGGAGCUGAAAUCAGUCGAAGAUACCAGCUGGCUGCAACUGUUUAUUAAAAACACAGCACUGUGCAAACACGAAAGUGGACGUAUACGGUGUGACGCCUGCCCGGUGCCGGAAGGUUAAUUGAUGGGGUCAGCGCAAGCGAAGCUCUUGAUCGAAGCCCCGGUAAACGGCGGCCGUAACUAUAACGGUCCUAAGGUAGCGAAAUUCCUUGUCGGGUAAGUUCCGACCUGCACGAAUGGCGUAAUGAUGGCCAGGCUGUCUCCACCCGAGACUCAGUGAAAUUGAACUCGCUGUGAAGAUGCAGUGUACCCGCGGCAAGACGGAAAGACCCCGUGAACCUUUACUAUAGCUUGACACUGAACAUUGAGCCUUGAUGUGUAGGAUAGGUGGGAGGCUUUGAAGUGUGGACGCCAGUCUGCAUGGAGCCGACCUUGAAAUACCACCCUUUAAUGUUUGAUGUUCUAACGUUGACCCGUAAUCCGGGUUGCGGACAGUGUCUGGUGGGUAGUUUGACUGGGGCGGUCUCCUCCUAAAGAGUAACGGAGGAGCACGAAGGUUGGCUAAUCCUGGUCGGACAUCAGGAGGUUAGUGCAAUGGCAUAAGCCAGCUUGACUGCGAGCGUGACGGCGCGAGCAGGUGCGAAAGCAGGUCAUAGUGAUCCGGUGGUUCUGAAUGGAAGGGCCAUCGCUCAACGGAUAAAAGGUACUCCGGGGAUAACAGGCUGAUACCGCCCAAGAGUUCAUAUCGACGGCGGUGUUUGGCACCUCGAUGUCGGCUCAUCACAUCCUGGGGCUGAAGUAGGUCCCAAGGGUAUGGCUGUUCGCCAUUUAAAGUGGUACGCGAGCUGGGUUUAGAACGUCGUGAGACAGUUCGGUCCCUAUCUGCCGUGGGCGCUGGAGAACUGAGGGGGGCUGCUCCUAGUACGAGAGGACCGGAGUGGACGCAUCACUGGUGUUCGGGUUGUCAUGCCAAUGGCACUGCCCGGUAGCUAAAUGCGGAAGAGAUAAGUGCUGAAAGCAUCUAAGCACGAAACUUGCCCCGAGAUGAGUUCUCCCUGACUCCUUGAGAGUCCUGAAGGAACGUUGAAGACGACGACGUUGAUAGGCCGGAUGUGUAAGCGCAGCGAUGCGUUGAGCUAACCGGUACUAAUGAACCGUGAGGCUUAACCUUACAACGCCGAAGGUGUUU